Molecule: non-coding RNA, 2170 nt
Organism: Leptonychotes weddellii (Weddell seal)
Lineage: Eukaryota; Metazoa; Chordata; Mammalia; Carnivora; Phocidae
Source: RefSeq, a predicted model, not a curated record
UGCGGAGGCGGGCCCGCGGGCUUGGGGGGAACCCCUCAGAGGGAGGGCGCAGAGAUCUGGCCGACCCAGAGGGGGCACCCCCGCGGACGGAGGGGCGUGACCCUGCGGACCAAGAGAGAGGACCGAGGGGAGACCUAUCAGACUGAAGGCUGGGACUGAGGGAAAAGAUGCGAAGGCAAAGGGAGACGUCCAAAAUUUAAGAAGGGUCGACUGAUGAGACCCUCAGCGAGAAGGAGGAAGUGUAGAGACUUCACAGCCACUUGGGGCAAUGUACAACUUCUGCAGCCUGCGAACCAAGGCAGAAAAAGCCAUACAACUCUAGAAGACAAGCCCACGAGGUACACUUUGUUGAAGCAAAUGGCUGGGUCUCUUCACUGAAGUUUCCAGCAUGUUCCAGUAACACACACCCUAGUUCUGCUUACAAACAAAAGGAGAAAAAGAGCAAUGCGUUAUGAAACCCAUCCCUUGCAACAGGGAGGAGGGUCAUUCUGUGGGAAGGACAUCUUUGGGUUCUGCAUCAGUCUGUUCUGCUUUGGCUUCGGUGACGGCCGGAGCCGGGGCCGCGACCCUCACAGUGCCUUCUGCCUCUGCUGCGGCCGCUUGCACUUCCCGUCCGGCCUCCGCGGCUUCCCCUCCGGCCUCCGCUUCAGUGCUGCCCUUCUCAGAGGCCCUGCCACCCGGUGUCUCCACUUCCAGCGGCUGUUCAGAGUGGGGACCGCGAGGGGCCUGGGCCGCGUCCACAGGGCCUUCCCCUUCGGCCAGCGUGUCACUGCCUUCUGGAGCCGGCGCUCCUUCCCCAUCUACCGCUCUCACUGCUGCCGUAAUGACCUCAGCCAACACCUCCGCGGCCACCUCCUCGGGUGUCUCCUCCUUCUCCUCGCCUCCUAAAUUGUCAUCCCCUUCGAUUUCUGGAUCGACAGCCUCACUGGUGAAAGGGUCUUCACCCUGGCCAAGAAGAGCAACAUGUCAGUGCAAAGGGGAGACUGAAGGGGGCCCAGGUUGCCGGGAAUCCGUGUUUUUAGGCUGAAGAGCCAACGAGAGAAACACGUCCCACUACAGAUGCUUCUGGAUUUCUUCAUCUUCAAAGCUACGAAACUUGCACACAGAACAGGCGAACUGAAUCCUGGAAAAGGAAGACGGAAAGAAUGACGACAUAGGAAUAACCAGCUCAUCUCUGGUUGGAACAGAAAUGGAAACAGGAAGCAAUUUCUGUACCAAGACUUCUGACUUUGAGUGGGGCAUCAGAGUAGCAGAUGCCCCAGGUCCCCCCAUCCUGAGAAUGGGGAUGCAAUCUUGAAAGUGUUUUAGGAAAACGAUUCAUGCACCACACCAGUCUUUUUGGCCCAAAGGCCCACAAGAGAACACCCUAAGGUGGAGACUUUCCAAACUGUGGACUCCCUAAAGGCCCCCAGACCACUGCUCUGGGGGGCGUAGUACCUAACUCUGUAACUUCUUUCUGUAGCCACCAAGAUAACACACGGGAGCCUCAUUUUAAUGUGAGGGAGAAUUUCCUGAAGACCUUCCACCAUCUAAAACUCACAAAACCCAAGAUCAAUUUUCACACGGGACUCAACAUUAAGACCCGUCAUAUCAAAUUCUAUGGCUAAAAACUGACGUCUUUGUUGCGUACUUUCAAAACCUCAUAAAUGCAAUCAUGCUGUAAGGCAAGGGGAGAGCAGCCCGCAGAGCCUUAUGCCUCCAGAGUGGGGCGCUGCUUCCCUCGGCUCUGCCCAGGAGGCUUUGGUGUAUCUGGGCUAACGACAUGGGUCCCGUGACACUCAGGAUUCCUCAUCUACCAACUCAGACUUCUGCCGGCUCUCAAUGCCUGGCUUCUGACCUCUGGACAAGGCACCACAAAACACCUGCUUUUGCAUAUACCCUCGACAAAGGAGUGAAAAGAAAAGCUCUGGGGCCCUAUAUGUAUGAAUGGGUAUCAGGAAGCUACCAAAGAAAUGCGGGGUUCGUGCUUCCUGCUGCAUCUUUACCUCCCCUGUGACAGUCUCUCCAAGUCUCUCUGAGGGCCCUCUGUCCCUAGGGUGGAGUCUAAAGACUCCUUCCGGAAAAAAGUCAUCUCAGUUCUCCUGGGGCAUGAAAAUAAUCUGAUCUAGCCAUCAUGUAUUCAUCUGUUUGAAAACAAGCGUUUUGAUGAAUUUCUGUUUAGCACUUGGAA